Molecule: non-coding RNA, 597 nt
Organism: Odocoileus virginianus texanus
Lineage: Eukaryota; Metazoa; Chordata; Mammalia; Artiodactyla; Cervidae
Source: RefSeq, a predicted model, not a curated record
GACUGGGAGGGGGUGUGAGGGGGUGGCAGGAGGCCAGGCUUUGGCGGGAUCAGGUUAGGGCAGGUUUGGUUUCCUUAAAAUGCAAAGUUGGGGGCCAGUGGGGCUAGCAUAUAAAUUCCAACUCUGGGCAUCUGGCCCUUUGCUUUCCUUCAGGAGUCUCUCUCUGCUCUCUGGUCUGCCUCGGAUCCAAGAUGUCCAGUCCCCUGGAGCAGGCGCUGGCUGUGAUUGUUGCUACCUUCCACAAGUACUCUGGCCAAGAGGGAGACAAAUUCAAGCUGAGUAAGGGGGAGAUGAAGGAGCUUCUGCACAAGGAGCUGCCCAGCUUUGUGGGGGACAAGGUGGAUGAGGAGGGCCUGAAGAAGCUGAUGGGUGAUCUGGAUGAGAACAGUGACCAGCAGGUGGACUUCCAGGAGUACGCCGUCUUCCUGGCCCUCAUCACUAUUAUGUGCAAUGAUUUCUUCCAGGGCUCCUCAGCGCGGUCCUGAUGCAGGGCUUGUGGCUCCCUGCUGUGGGUCUCUUCGGCCGGGGAGGACUCUAAAGUCUUUUUUAGUUUUACUCAAUAAACUGUUUUUGCCGGUUAAAAAAAUAAAUAAAAAA